UGGUGGAGUGAUUUGUCUGGUUAAUUCCGUUAACGAACGAGACCUCAGCCUGCUAAAUAGUCGAGCGAACAUUUCGGUGUUCGCGCUACGACUUCUUAGAGGGACUGUCGGUUUCUAGCCGACGGAAGUGUGAGGCAAUAACA
This 143-nucleotide ribosomal RNA is filed under the name uncultured eukaryote. RNAcentral's name for it is "partial 18S ribosomal RNA". It matches the Rfam family "Eukaryotic small subunit ribosomal RNA", at positions 1299 to 1458 of the family's 1831-position model. The record is from RNAcentral.